This 225-nucleotide ribosomal RNA is filed under the name Triticum aestivum (bread wheat). RNAcentral describes it as "partial small subunit ribosomal RNA". The record is from RNAcentral. Lineage: Eukaryota; Viridiplantae; Streptophyta; Magnoliopsida; Poales; Poaceae.
AUGAAACUCUUAGCAUGGAAUUGUCGGGGACUUGGGAAUGCCCCGGCAAUUCGAGCUUUGCUGGAUGUCCAGCGAAGAUGCCUCCCCGAUGUGAUGUUCUUGUCGGAGACUCACCUCGACAGCUAUCCGGCAGAAGGAUUACGUAGAAGGCUGAAGAUGGACCAAAAUCUAGUGUGCCCUAGUAGUGGACGGAGAGGAGGAUUAGUUCUCUUCUGGAAUAACAAU